UUUCAGGAUAAUUUUGAACUAUUUUUACCGAAGUUUUACCGAGUUUGUCCAAGUGCUUGUCUUCCCCUUGCUUCAACUUGCACUGAGAGAAGCAGCACUUGGAUGUGAACUAAAGCAACUUAUGAACUAAGCAGAUGACACCUGCGGGAUUAGAUGGGAUGGGUGGUGCCUGUGAGCACCAAGGAAGGAAUCGGGGAGUCACGGCGGGUGGUGCCUGCGAGCACCUGGGAGGAGCAGGGAGGGUCAUGGGUAUAUGGGGCGGUCGCGUGUACGGGUAUAAGUAGCCUUGUUGCACAGCAUUAAAUUGGCAUUUCGGCGCUACAUACCGUGUAUGUGUCCCGUAUGCCCCUGCACGUGGAGGUGCGGACGGAAGGGAAGCCUUAGUACGUUGUCGUAGACAACAAUUGGUGACCCCGAUGUGAUAAGACGGAGCACGGAGAGGUGCUCGGAGCGCAGGGGCGCUCGAGAAGGAGCGCAGAGGGGUGCUCGGAGCGCAGGGGCGCUCGAGGGGGAGCACGGAGAGGUGCUCGGAGCGCAAGGGCGCUCGAGGGGGAGCACGGAGAGGUGCUCGGAGCUCAGGGGCGCUCAACAGCGUACUCCAGUAUGUCUUCGUCGCUGGAGAGGAUGCAGGUUUGGCUGUGCAAAUGGCCAGUUGAACCCACUGUGCGACUAGUGGGAGGUGUGGGUGGUACUACUGCCGGACGAACAGAUCUUCUGAAAGGGGAUACGGAUUUGGCGGCUCCUCGAGAAUUAUCAGCAAGAUAUCAGCGUCUGUUGUCUCAUCUUUUUGAACAUCUCCAGCAGGGCACCUUGCAGCGUUGGGAUGCUACUCGAGGCAUCCAAGCACAUUUGCUGGUACAACCCGCGGGGGCCACAAUCAUACUUUACCAGGGGGAGGUUGGGUGGGCCUUGUUAUUCGGUUACGUUGCAACUCCCCGUGUGGCAUUACCUUGGUGGGGUGUUCUGUUAGGUCAGGCCAUCCAAUGGGCACGUGAUAAGGUGCUUGCCAUUGCAGGGACGAAGCCCCAAGCAAUCACGGUUGAGCUUGGCCCAACAUCGCUUACACAGUUGCAGAAGAACUCUUUGAUUGUACAAACAGCCCUGGCAGAUUAUCCAGGUGUAAUUACUAAUUCCCCACGCACGCAUUACACAGAUUUGUUACAGUUAGUUACUAUCUUACCCGUGCUUCCUUUAGCUGAGAGUCCACUACAAGGUAUUACAGCCUUUACCGAUGCCGCUGGAAAAACGCAGCGGUAUGCAGUGGCCUGGUUUAACCAAGGCGUGUGGUGUUCUGAAGUUAGAGAAGAUAAGACUCACUCGAUACAACAAUUGGAGCUCUUGCCUGCCCGAUGGGUUAAGCCGGCGCCUGUAGCAUCCCUAGCACCAGCAAGAGCACAGGACCCCCACCCUGUACUGCCCAAAGAGAAUACAGCUCUCCCCAGCACCAGCAGCGCUCAAGGCAUCC
This 1465-nucleotide long non-coding RNA is filed under the name Numida meleagris (helmeted guineafowl). RNAcentral describes it as "lncRNA (ENSNMEG00000014426.1)". Lineage: Eukaryota; Metazoa; Chordata; Aves; Galliformes; Numididae. The record is from RNAcentral.